AAGCUCCAGUUAAAGACAGCAAGACAAACUAACAUCAGAAAUAAACAGACUGGGAGAUGCAAGGUCAAGAACAUAACCAACAGAAAUGAAGACUACUUGGCCUCAUCAGUACCCAGUUCUCCCACCACAGCAAGUUUUGGAUAACCCCGACACACUGGGAAAGCAAGAUUCGGAUUUAAAAACACAUUUCAUGAUGACAGUAGAGGACUUUAUUAAGGACAUAAAUAAUUCCCUUAAAAAAUACAGGACAGCAGAGGUAAACAAGUAAAAGCCCUUACAGAGGAAGCACAAAAAUCCCUUACAGUAUUACUGGGAAACACAACCAAACAGGUGAAGGAAUUGAAAAAAAA
Molecule: long non-coding RNA, 350 nt
Filed under: Rattus norvegicus (Norway rat)
Lineage: Eukaryota; Metazoa; Chordata; Mammalia; Rodentia; Muridae
Description: long non-coding RNA NONRATT018080
Source: RNAcentral